GAGGAGGUGGAAAGAAUGUAAGAGCCAGACAGAAUAAGGACAUCAGGAAAACAACACCUUCUAAAUCAACUGGGCAAAGCUCAUAUAUGCUCACAGGAACUGAAACAGAAUGCAGUAAAAAUCACAGCCAGAACUGAGAAAGAGAUUCUCUGAAUGUGCUUAAACUCUAUAUGUUGAUGCUCCAAGCUUCCAUGUGUUUUAAAAGGAGACUGCGUUAUAAGGGAGGUGUGUCCAAAUGAGGAGCAGAAGGAGGGAGAACAUGAGCAAGGAAGUCAGGACCACGAGGGGUGUACCCACCCACUGUGACAGUGGAAUUGAUCUAUUGGGAGCCCACUAAGGCCAGCUGGACUGGGACUGAAUAAGCAUGGGAUGAAACCGGAC
Molecule: long non-coding RNA, 381 nt
Organism: Chionomys nivalis (European snow vole)
Lineage: Eukaryota; Metazoa; Chordata; Mammalia; Rodentia; Cricetidae
Exons: 4
Source: RefSeq, a predicted model, not a curated record